GGGCCUGUAGCUCAGUUGGUUAGAGCAGCGGACUCAUAAUCCGUUGGUCCCCAGUUCAAGUCUGGGUGGGCCCA
This 74-nucleotide transfer RNA is filed under the name Oppiella nova. It matches the Rfam family "tRNA". From Rfam's summary of the family: Transfer RNA (tRNA) molecules are approximately 80 nucleotides in length. Their secondary structure includes four short double-helical elements and three loops (D, anti-codon, and T loops). Lineage: Eukaryota; Metazoa; Arthropoda; Arachnida; Sarcoptiformes; Oppiidae. The record is from Rfam by way of RNAcentral.